AAACCAUGAUUGGGACAUUUUCUCAGCAGCACUUGGAAGCGCUCCCAAGAUUCAUAAAAGGCUUCAUCGGCACCUUGUCGGAAUGUUGAUAUUUCGAACUUUGCAU
RNAcentral lists this small nucleolar RNA (106 nucleotides) under Lupinus albus (white lupine). RNAcentral's name for it is "Plant small nucleolar RNA R71". It matches the Rfam family "Plant small nucleolar RNA R71". From Rfam's summary of the family: R71 is a member of the C/D box family of snoRNAs containing the C (UGAUGA) and D (CUGA) box motifs. Lineage: Eukaryota; Viridiplantae; Streptophyta; Magnoliopsida; Fabales; Fabaceae. The record is from Rfam by way of RNAcentral.